UACGGGAGGCAGCAGUGGGGAAUAUUGGACAAUGGGCGCAAGCCUGAUCCAGCCAUGCCGCGUGUGUGAAGAAGGCUUAUGGUGUAAAGCACUUAAGCGAGGAGGAGGCUACUUUAGUUAAUACCUAGAGAUAGUGGACGUUACUCGCAGAAUAAGCACCGGCUAACUCUGUGCCAGCAGCCGCGGUAAUACAGAGGGUGCAAGCGUUAAUCGGAUUUACUGGGCGUAAAGCGCGCGUAGGCGGCUAAUUAAGUCAAAUGUGAAAUCCCCGAGCUUAACUUGGGAAUUGCAUUCGAUACUGGUUAGCUAGAGUGUGGGAGAGGAUGGUAGAAUUCCAGGUGUAGCGGUGAAAUGCGUAGAGAUCUGGAGGAAUACCGAUGGCGAAGGCAGCCAUCUGGCCUAACACUGACGCUGAGGUGCGAAAGCAUGGGGAGCAAACAGGAUUAGAUACCCUGGUAGUCCAUGCCGUAAACGAUGUCUACUAGCCGUUGGGGCCUUUGAGGCUUUAGUGGCGCAGCUAACGCGAUAAGUAGACCGCCUGGGGAGUACGGUCGCAAGACUAAAACUCAAAUGAAUUGACGGGGGCCCGCACAAGCGGUGGAGCAUGUGGUUUAAUUCGAUGCAACGCGAAGAACCUUACCUGGCCUUGACAUAGUAAGAACUUUCCAGAGAUGGAUUGGUGCCUUCGGGAACUUACAUACAGGUGCUGCAUGGCUGUCGUCAGCUCGUGUCGUGAGAUGUUGGGUUAAGUCCCGCAACGAGCGCAACCCUUUUCCUUAUUUGCCAGCGAGUAAUGUCGGGAACUUUAAGGAUACUGCCAGUGACAAACUGGAGGAAGGCGGGGACGACGUCAAGUCAUCAUGGCCCUUACGGCCAGGGCUACACACGUGCUACAAUGGUCGGUACAAAGGGUUGCUACCUAGCGAUAGGAUGCUAAUCUCAAAAAGCCGAUCGUAGUCCGGAUUGGAGUCUGCAACUCGACUCCAUGAAGUCGGAAUCGCUAGUAAUCGCGGAUCAGAAUGCCGCGGUGAAUACGUUCCCGGGCCUUGUACACACCGCCCGUCACACCAUGGGAGUUUGUUGCACCAGAAGUAGCUAGCCUAACUGCAAAGAGGGCGGUUACCAUGGUGGUCCCAA
Molecule: ribosomal RNA, 1137 nt
Filed under: Acinetobacter sp.
Lineage: Bacteria; Pseudomonadati; Pseudomonadota; Gammaproteobacteria; Moraxellales; Moraxellaceae
Description: bacterial SSU rRNA
Rfam family: Bacterial small subunit ribosomal RNA
Source: RNAcentral